Molecule: ribosomal RNA, 1294 nt
Filed under: Cotesia flavipes
Lineage: Eukaryota; Metazoa; Arthropoda; Insecta; Hymenoptera; Braconidae
Description: 16S ribosomal RNA
Source: RNAcentral
UAAAAAUAAUUUUAUUUAUUUUUUUUUAAAAUUAUAUUUUAAUUUAAUAAAUUAAAAUUUUAUGUUAAUAAAAAUUUUAAUUAAUUUUUAAAUUUAUUAAAAUUUAAUUUUUUAUAUUAUUAUAAUAAAAGAAUAAUUUAUUUUUUUUUCCUUUUGUAUCAGGAUUAAUUAAAAAUUAAUAUAUAAUUAUAUUUUUCUCGAAUUUAAAAAAUUUAAAUUUUUAUUUUUAUUAAUAUAAAAUUAUUAAAUAAAAUAUAAAUUUAGAAACUAAAUAUUAAACAAUUUUAAAUAUAUCUAGUUAUUUAAAAAAUAAAUUUAAUUUAUUUUUAAUUUUUUAUUAAUUUUAAUUUAAAAUUAAUAUUAAAUUUAAAAAAAUAAUUUUAGGGAUAAACUUUAAUUUAAUAUUAUAAAUUAAUUUAAAUAAAUUUUAUAAUUUAAAAAUAAAAUUAUUUAUAAUUAAAAAAUAUUUAAUAAUUUUAUAAAAUAUAAAUAAAAAUUUAAAUAAAAUUUUAAUUAAUUAUUAAAUUAUAAAAUUUAAUAAAAAUAUUUUAAAAAUAAUAAUUAAAUUAGUAAUAUUAAAUUUAUUAAAUUUUAUAAUUUUAAAAUUAAAAAUUAAAUUUAAUAAACUUGGCAAACUUAUAUUCACCUGUUUAUCAAAAACAUGUCUUAAUGAAAAUAAUUUUAAGUCUAAUCUGCUCAAUGAAUAAUUUUAAAUAGCUGCAGUAUAAAUAACUGUACAAAGGUAGCAUAAUAAUUUGUUUUUUAAUUAAAAACUAGAAUGAAUGAUUAAAUGAAAUAUAGACUAUAUCAAACUUAAAAAAUAAAUUUAUUAUUUAAAUAAAAAAAUUUAAAUAACUUUUAAAGACGAGAAGACCCUAAAGAAUUUAAAUAAUAAUUUAAAAUAAUAAUUUAUAAAUUAUUAUAUUAAUUGGGGAAAUUUUAAAAUUUAAAAAAUUUUUAAUUAAAUAAACAUAUAUUUUUGAAUAUAUAAAAUUUUUUAAAAAAUUAAAUUAAAUUACCUUAGGGAUAACAGCAUAAUUUUUUUAAAAAGUUCAAAUUUAUAAAAAAGUUUAUGACCUCGAUGUUGAAUUAAGAUUAAAUUUAAUAGAAAAAUAUUAAAAAUUUAAGUCUGUUCGACUUUUAAAAUCUUACAUGAUUUGAGUUAAGAUCGGUGUAAGCCAGAUCGGAUUCUAUCUUAAAAAAAAUUAAAUAUUUUUGUACGAAAGGAAUUUUUAUUUAAAAUAAUUUUUUUAAAUUAAUUAUUUAAUAAAUUAUUACUUUAGCAAAAAAUGCA